AGCUUCAACUUCAUCAACAGCACCAUCCCCAGAUUAGAAAGGAAAUUAAGCCUCUGCUGGUAGUGCUCAGUAAUGGGUUUUCUGGGUAUUUGCUUUCUUGUCCUUUUGAUGUUGAAAAUUGCUGCUGCACAACCAUUCACUGACCCUAUUGAAGGUUCCUUUUUAUUUCUUUUGUAAUAUGGUUUUCCUCAUAACCUUUUGUUUUUUAAAGAUUUUAUCGGGUUGUUGUAGGUCAACAACUAGUAGAAGGGGAGCCUUGGGCAACCGGACCAGGAGGCCACUGGUUUGAGCCGUGGAAACAGUCUCUUAUACUCCCUCCGUUCCAAUCUAUGUGAACCUGUUUGACUGGGCACGAAAUUUAAGAAAAAAUGAAGACUUUUGAAAUUUGUGGUCCUAAAUAAUUCAAAAAGGGGCUCAUAGUAUUUGUUUGGUUAUAAAAGUUUCUCAUUAAGGUAGAAUUGUAAGUUUAAACUACAUUAUUUCCAAAUUUAGAAAGAAGUCAUUCUUUUUGGAACGGACCAAAAAAGAAAAUAGGUUCACCUAAACUGGAACAGAAGAAGAAAUGUAGGGUAAGGCUGUGUACAAUAGACCUUGUAGUCCGGCUCUUUCCUGAACCCCGCGUGUAGCCUUAGUGCACCAGACUGCUUUUUUUUUAGGUCGACAGCUAGUGUUGAAAUAAUUA
Molecule: long non-coding RNA, 682 nt
Filed under: Nicotiana tabacum (common tobacco)
Lineage: Eukaryota; Viridiplantae; Streptophyta; Magnoliopsida; Solanales; Solanaceae
Description: long non-coding RNA (NTAB_LNC011462)
Source: RNAcentral